Molecule: ribosomal RNA, 445 nt
Filed under: uncultured Comamonadaceae bacterium
Lineage: Bacteria; Pseudomonadati; Pseudomonadota; Betaproteobacteria; Burkholderiales; Comamonadaceae
Description: bacterial SSU rRNA
Rfam family: Bacterial small subunit ribosomal RNA
Source: RNAcentral
UGGAUGAUGUGGUUAAUUCGAUGCAACGCGAAAACCUUCCACCUUUGACAUGUACGGAACUCGCCAGAGAUGGCUUGGUGCUCGAAAGAGAACCGUAACACAGGUGCUGCAUGGCUGUCGUCAGCUCGCGUCGUGAGAUGUUGGGUUAAGUCCCGCAACGAGCGCAACCCUUGUCAUUAGUUGCUACAUUUAGUUGGGCACUCUAAUGAGACUGCCGGUGACAAGCCGGAGGAAGGUGGGGAUGACGUCAAGUCCUCAUGGCCCUUAUAGGUGGGGCUACACACGUCAUACAAUGGCUGGUACAGAGGGUUGCCAACCCGCGAGGGGGAGCUAAUCCCAUAAAACCAGUCGUAGUCCGGAUCGCAGUCUGCAACUCGACUGCGUGAAGUCGGAAUCGCUAGUAAUCGCGGAUCAGAAUGUCGCGGUGAAUACGUUCCCGGGUCUU